This 110-nucleotide ribosomal RNA is filed under the name Bacteroides fragilis. RNAcentral describes it as "partial 16S ribosomal RNA". It matches the Rfam family "Bacterial small subunit ribosomal RNA", at positions 1 to 100 of the family's 1533-position model. Lineage: Bacteria; Pseudomonadati; Bacteroidota; Bacteroidia; Bacteroidales; Bacteroidaceae. The record is from RNAcentral.
CUUUUACAAUGAAGAGUUUGAUCCUGGCUCAGGAUGAACGCUAGCUACAGGCUUAACACAUGCAAGUCGAGGGGCAUCAGGAAGAAAGCUUGCUUUCUUUGCUGGCGACC